This is a non-coding RNA of Macaca mulatta (Rhesus monkey), 279 nucleotides long. The record is from RefSeq and is a predicted model, not a curated record. Lineage: Eukaryota; Metazoa; Chordata; Mammalia; Primates; Cercopithecidae.
CGGCGGGCGGAGCCCCGCGCCGCUGCCAGGACUGCCCGCCCAGCUUGGGACUCCGCGGCGGGUCUGCACACCCGAGGACUCGAAGGGUACUUAAUCGAAACUAGCAAUCCCAGGCGGUACAGGGCCCUCCAUUGUAGGCAAAGCACCACCUGAAUGUAGAUUUGGGGCCAUACAUUGGAAAAUAAGACAUGAGAGUAUGCUCCAAUCCACCUUUACUGUUUACUGGACAGCUAUUUUGGAGUUUCGCUCUUGUUGCCCAAGUUGGAGUGCAAUGGCGCG